Molecule: non-coding RNA, 2698 nt
Organism: Delphinapterus leucas (beluga whale)
Lineage: Eukaryota; Metazoa; Chordata; Mammalia; Artiodactyla; Monodontidae
Source: RefSeq, a predicted model, not a curated record
CUGACAUACAUGAUUGGUUAUUAUUUAUUUCCAUCUCAUUUUGGGUUCUGAAAGUUUCCCCAAGGCACUGGUGUGUGUGAACUUUCAGAUUGCACUUGGGAAUGGCUGGCCUCAUCCCCUCUGCUCCACUGGGAUCCCUGGUGAAGUUUCGUUUUAAGUGUUUGUGCCAAAGUAGGAGCAACAGAAGCUCGGCAAAGGCGGUGUGGGUUGGAGAACAGCUUCGGGCUGAGAACACGCGUAUGUGAAUGAGAAAGGGGUGACUCUCCCCACGCAAGCUGGAUGUUGACAUUCAACCCCAGUUGUAAGAAAGAGCAGAUUUCUAAGAGACUUGUGUCCAGAGAUAAGACUGAGAUCCCUAAUGGAGCAGGUAACUCAGGACACUGUGAAGAAGUCCAGCGACAAGGACCGGGCUUACAUCAAAGACUGGUUAAGUCAUGUGCUGAUUUGUAUUAUCCUAGCAUUAAAAUGAGGGAAAAGAAUCACUGUAGACAUUUCACUCGAUGUUGUUCUGAACUGUAAUAAAAAACAUCAGGUUGCAUUACCCUUCCCAAAGAUCACGUUCAGCUCUCUCAGCACUUCCAGCCUCCCAAGGAGACAUUUUCAAAGCAGCUAGAUUUUUCGGCCCUAGAGAGGAAAACAAUCACAGAAACACAAGCAGAGCCCAUCCCUGGCCCCUGCUGACCAAACGGCAGGCACUUGGGAGAAACAAGCUGGCUGGAAGGUGUCCCAGCGGAAUAGAGGUUCCUGGAGUCCUGAAGGCGAGGGAGGAAAAAAACAAAUGGAUCUCUCCUAGGGGAACCAGCUCUUUCCUCUCAGGCUCUGCUCUGCCUUCUCAGAGACUGGGAUCUGCUUGCUUGCCAAUGAAACCAAAGCACCGAGUGGGUAGCACAAGGCGAUGUUUGUAAAUAUGACAAACCAUUGCAAUAUUACAGCUUUUCAUUUGGAAAGCCACUUAGGCAAGAAAUGAUUACUGACCCAUGAUAUGUAAAUGACGGGAAUGCAGAAAUUAGUAUUUGGGUCAACUUGUAUAUUUUUCAACCAUGAAAUGAAAGUCUCAGUGUUCACAUUCCAAUUCAUACAUGAAAGCAUCAGGGUGCUAUUAGUUGUCUAUUGUGUUAAUUUAUUGUUGUCUUAAUUCAUGUUUUCAGAGCCACUGUGAGGGUAUAGAUCUACUUUCUAUGCACUAAUGUUGCAACUGGAAGAGGGGAUGAUGCGUCUCUGGGCCAGCUGGUGUCCUGAGGGGGUUCUACUUUAGUUGAGGAGAAAGGAAGUGAUUCUGAAGGAGAGGCUAGGGGGAUCCUUUUCAAAUAUUUCAAAUAUGGCAUAAGUCUAUCACUUCCCUUUCUUUGAGUUCAUAAAUCCACAAGAAUGUGUUGGACAAUCGGGCUACCAUGACAAGUUCCUAGGUGCCUUUGGGGACACGAAAAAUACCUAAAAGGACCUUUGUCUUCCAGGUUGGAGCAAAAGAGACUCACUGUGGAAAAAAUGCAGGAACUCAGAGGGAGAGAGAAUUUAGGAAGACUUUUUGGAGGAGGUGACAUUUCAGCUGGUUUUGAAGGGUGUUAGAAGUUAAGAGAUGAAAGGAAGGAGAAGAGUCAUUCCAGGCAGACAGCAAGCGAAAAGUCCCAGAGGAUGGAGUACCAUGCUGCAUAAACCGAGGUCCCCCUUCACUGAAACAGAAAGUGGCUAUCGAAGAGCAAAGGUGUGGGAGAACAUACAGAGAAGUCCCCCAAGGUGGGCCCCUGAAGACCAGUGAGAGUUCCUUCCCAAGUGAGCCUGAUGAAGGCCAUGGGAAAGCAGUUUGGGCCUACCUAGAUUGUGUACAAAUGCAGCCAGGAUUGGAGCUGGGAGACACUGUGGAAGGAAGGCCAGUUGGGAGGUAGGAUUAGCAAUUUAAAGUCAGGGAAAGAAGGCCCGGAGCCGGGGUGCUUGUCACAUGUGUUAGGAGAAACGGCAGAGGGAUGGGCAGGAGAGGGUGGUCUGGGAGACAGGAAACGAAGUGUUAGGGGAUGCAUCUGAAAGCUGUGUGCAGAGGGAGAGAGUUACUGUCAGCCCUUACGUUCUGUGGUUUUACAGAGCAAAACGCUUACGUGAUGCCGAGAGUAAGUGGGGUAAGGAAAUAAUGACGGUUUUGCCUUUUAAUCUAAUUAAUUGGCUAGAGGGCACUCUGGGUAUUUCCACUGUGCAACUACAUCUCCUCCUCUUGUAACCUCCUACAUCAUAGCCUCGAGAUUGGGUAGUGCUGAGAUCUCUGGCUUCAUUCAACGUUGGUCCUUGGAUCUGGGUGUGCCAGCCCCUUUAAGCACAGGCACUCAGUCAGACCCUUUACCUGGGGGUCUCAAGGUCAGAAGAGAUAUUCUGCCUGAGAGGUGAACUGAGGGCAGGACAGUUUUGAAAAUGUGGGUUAGACCAAUAGUUCUCAAUGGAGUUUAUACUGCCCCCUACAGGGUGCUUUGGAAGUUCCUAGUAACACUUUUCGGAGGUCACCAAACUGGGUGGGAGCCAGGGAUGCGAGACAUCCUCUGUUCACAGGAGAGUCCAGCACAAGGCAGAAUCCUGUAGCAUCUCAUAUGGCUUUUGAGUGUCCUGCCAGGCAUUCAUGUAGGUAAACCUGUUUAUACUUAUCUAAGCCUAAAACCUAGCUCCAAUUUAUAUAAUUUGUUGCCCAGUUUUAAUACACACUAAAUUUUCUAUGAAU